GCCCCAGUAGCUUAAUGGAUAAGGCACUAGCCUCUUAAACCAGGGAUUGUGGGUUCAAGUCCCAUCCAGGGUA
Molecule: non-coding RNA, 73 nt
Organism: Alligator sinensis (Chinese alligator)
Lineage: Eukaryota; Metazoa; Chordata; Crocodylia; Alligatoridae
Source: Rfam